GGAAAUCCUACCGGUCUCCACUCUGGAAAGCUUCACCCUGAAAAGUCCCACCUCCUGCUCCAAGAAACUCCAGACCAGACAGAGUCUAAGCCACCUUGAAUAUCUAGUCUAAAGAAGAUAACCCGGAUAUAUAACACAGACCAGAGCCUAGCUUACUUGUCAUCACAGAGGCUUCAUCUAGCAACUGAUGGGAGCAGAUGCAGAGACCCACAGCCAAAUUUUAGGCAGAGCUCAGAGAAUCCUGCAGCAGAAGAUGAGGACAAGUCUCCCCCACCUCCUCUUCUUUCAGUUCCUCCGUCAAAUCCCUUCUCCCCAAGAACCUUUGUUCCUCCACUUCUCUUCAGAAAGGUACUAUCAGGGAUAUCAACCAAACAUGGCAUAAAAAGCGUAUCCAGGCUGGACCAGGCAAACUGAUAAGAGGAAAAGGGUCCCGAGAGCAGGCAAAAGAGUCCAAAACAGUCCCACUCCCAUUGUUAGGAGUCCCAUAAGACCAACAAGCUUCUUAGCCAUGUAUGCAGAAGACCAAGAUAAGGUCCAGGCAGGAUUCCUGGUUAUCAAAUAACAAGGUGAACCCAAAGAAAAACAUAUAUAGAUCCUCCUGGAAAUUGGAAGCAAACAAGA
Myodes glareolus (Bank vole) is the source of this 621-nucleotide non-coding RNA. Lineage: Eukaryota; Metazoa; Chordata; Mammalia; Rodentia; Cricetidae. The record is from RefSeq and is a predicted model, not a curated record.